This is a long non-coding RNA of Gossypium arboreum, 488 nucleotides long. RefSeq lists it as uncharacterized. NCBI's taxonomy places the organism in Eukaryota, Viridiplantae, Streptophyta, Magnoliopsida, Malvales, Malvaceae. The transcript is spliced from 2 exons. The record is from RefSeq and is a predicted model, not a curated record.
AACCCCAUCAACCUUAUUUUCCUUCUUUUACCGCCACUAGUAGUAGCCAUUGCUGCCAUUUUUCUCUCAUUCAUUUCCUCUCUCAUUUCUCCAUCUUCUGCCAAAAUUUUCAUUACCCACCUAAAUCCAUUUCCACCAUCGAUCUCUCAAUUUUCAAAAUAAGGUUUCAUGGGUUUUUGUAUGAGAAAAUGAAGAUUGAAGGAGAAAGGUUUAAUAAGAUAAAGAGAAAAAAAGCGAGCAACAAGUUGAAGAUGAAAGGCAAAAAAGUGACAAAAGAGUGAAGGAAGAAUGAAGAAACCCAUCCAAGAAUUAAAUAGCAAGUACUUCAAAAAUUUUACUUUACCUAAUUAAAAAUCUAAGUGAAAAUUUCUUUAUUUAGUUUAGUAACAUUUAUAGGAUUUAUUGAUAUAAGAAAAUGUUUAUGUGUAUUAUGAAAUUUUUUUGAAUGUGAAGAUGAAUUAUUAUAAUAAAUUAAAUAGCUUUUGUAA